CAUUUUGGCGGUUUGCUUUCCUAAGUACUAGUGCCGCAGGAGUUAGGUUCGUGUCCGCAAUACCUCCUGCUGCCCAAGUGCUUAUUAAAGCGGCGGUGGUCCAACAGUGA
RNAcentral lists this microRNA precursor (110 nucleotides) under Drosophila pseudoobscura. RNAcentral's name for it is "microRNA dps-mir-252 precursor". Its record names the gene dps-mir-252. The stretch from base 13 to 93 matches the Rfam family "mir-252 microRNA precursor family". Lineage: Eukaryota; Metazoa; Arthropoda; Insecta; Diptera; Drosophilidae. The record is from miRBase by way of RNAcentral.